RNAcentral lists this ribosomal RNA (444 nucleotides) under uncultured bacterium. RNAcentral describes it as "bacterial SSU rRNA". It matches the Rfam family "Bacterial small subunit ribosomal RNA", at positions 355 to 796 of the family's 1533-position model. The record is from RNAcentral.
UGGGGAAUAUUGGACAAUGGGGGCAACCCUGAUCCAGCCACGCCGCGUGAGUGAUGAAGGCCUUCGGGUCGUAAAGCUCUGUGGGGAGGGACGAACGUCCCCGUGAAGAACGGGGGGUGACGGUACCUCCUUAGCAAGCACCGGCUAACUUCGUGCCAGCAGCCGCGGUAAUACGAAGGGUGCAAACGUUGCUCGGAAUCAUUGGGCGUAAAGCGCACGUAGGCGGCCUCAUAAGUCGGAUGUGAAAUCCCUCGGCUCAACCGAGGAAGUGCAUCCGAAACUGCGAGGCUCGAGUAUGGAAGAGGGUCGCAGAAUUCCCGGUGUAGAGGUGAAAUUCGUAGAUAUCGGGAGGAAUACCAGUGGCGAAGGCGGCGACCUGGGCCAAUACUGACGCUGAGGUGCGAAAGCGUGGGGAGCAAACAGGAUUAGAUACCCCCGUAGUCC